This 579-nucleotide ribosomal RNA is filed under the name uncultured bacterium. RNAcentral describes it as "partial 16S ribosomal RNA". It matches the Rfam family "Bacterial small subunit ribosomal RNA", at positions 355 to 932 of the family's 1533-position model. The record is from RNAcentral.
UGGGGAAUUUUGGACAAUGGGCGAAAGCCUGAUCCAGCAAUGCCGCGUGUGUGAAGAAGGCCUUCGGGUUGUAAAGCACUUUUGUCCGGAAAGAAAUCCUUGGCUCUAAUACAGUCGGGGGAUGACGGUACCGGAAGAAUAAGCACCGGCUAACUACGUGCCAGCAGCCGCGGUAAUACGUAGGGUGCAAGCGUUAAUCGGAAUUACUGGGCGUAAAGCGUGCGCAGGCGGUUUGCUAAGACCGAUGUGAAAUCCCCGGGCUCAACCUGGGAACUGCAUUGGUGACUGGCAGGCUAGAGUAUGGCAGAGGGGGGUAGAAUUCCACGUGUAGCAGUGAAAUGCGUAGAGAUGUGGAGGAAUACCGAUGGCGAAGGCAGCCCCUGGGCCAAUACUGACGCUCAUGCACGAAAGCGUGGGGAGCAAACAGGAUUAGAUACCCUGGUAGUCCACGCCCUAAACGAUGUCAACUAGUUGUUGGGGAUUCAUUUCCUUAGUAACGUAGCUAACGCGUGAAGUUGACCGCCUGGGGAGUACGGUCGCAAGAUUAAAAACUCAAAUGAAUUGACGGGGUCAUAGCUG